GCCUCUGUAGUGCAAUGGAUAGCGCGUUGGACUUCUAAUCCAAAAGGCCGUAGGUUCGUAUUCUACUUGGGAUG
Non-coding RNA from Trichonephila clavata, 74 nucleotides. Lineage: Eukaryota; Metazoa; Arthropoda; Arachnida; Araneae; Nephilidae. The record is from the annotation of a GenBank genome assembly.